RNAcentral lists this ribosomal RNA (465 nucleotides) under uncultured bacterium. RNAcentral's name for it is "partial 16S ribosomal RNA". It matches the Rfam family "Bacterial small subunit ribosomal RNA", at positions 338 to 795 of the family's 1533-position model. The record is from RNAcentral.
CCUACGGGUGGCAGCAGUGGGGAAUAUUGCGCAAUGGGCGAAAGCCUGACGCAGCGACGCCGCGUGAGGGAUGAAGGUCUUCGGAUCGUAAACCUCUGUCAGCAGGGAAGAACGGUCACUGUGCUAAUCAGCAGUGAAUUGACGGUACCUGCAAAGGAAGCACCGGCUAACUCCGUGCCAGCAGCCGCGGUAAUACGGAGGGUGCGAGCGUUAAUAGGAAUUACUGGGCGUAAAGCGGUCGUAGGCGGUAUGUCAAGUCAAGGGUGAAAGCCCCGGGCUCAACGUGGGAACUGCCUUUGAAACUGGCAAACUGGAGUGUGUGAGAGGAUAGUGGAAUUCCAGGUGUAGGAGUGAAAUCCGUAGAUAUCGGGAGGAACAUCAGUGGCGAAGGCGACUAUCUGGCACAUAACUGACGCUGAGGAGCGAAAGCGUGGGUAGCAAACAGGAUUAGAUACCCGGGUAGUC